CGGACGGGUGAGUAAUGCCUAGGAAUCUGCCUGGUAGUGGGGGACAAUGUUUCGAAAGGAACGCUAAUACCGCAUACGUCCUACGGGAGAAAGCAGGGGACCUUCGGGCCUUGCGCUAUCAGAUGAGCCUAGGUCGGAUUAGCUAGUUGGUGAGGUAAUGGCUCACCAAGGCGACGAUCCGUAACUGGUCUGAGAGGAUGAUCAGUCNCACUGGAACUGAGACACGGUCCAGACUCCUACGGGAGGCAGCAGAC
This 254-nucleotide ribosomal RNA is filed under the name uncultured Pseudomonas sp. Its description in RNAcentral is "partial 16S ribosomal RNA". It matches the Rfam family "Bacterial small subunit ribosomal RNA", at positions 99 to 354 of the family's 1533-position model. Lineage: Bacteria; Pseudomonadati; Pseudomonadota; Gammaproteobacteria; Pseudomonadales; Pseudomonadaceae. The record is from RNAcentral.